Long non-coding RNA from Bactrocera dorsalis (oriental fruit fly), 4805 nucleotides. RefSeq lists it as uncharacterized. The record is from RefSeq and is a predicted model, not a curated record. NCBI's taxonomy places the organism in Eukaryota, Metazoa, Arthropoda, Insecta, Diptera, Tephritidae. The transcript has 5 exons.
CCUGCAAGACGGAGGUAACAGAUUGCACAAACACAUUGAAACAUUUUCAGCUGUUCACUAACACUGUUACAUUUUCUGGAAUUUUCAAUGGAAUGGGAGAAUACAAUAGGAGAGGCGAAUACCCAAUAUUUCAAGAAGAAUAAACGAAAAGCGCAGUUUAUUUUGGAUUUUAAAGAGAGAAAACGAAAGAGAAAACGAAAGAGGUUAACAAGGAGAAAAAUAAAUCAUUUGGACCAUUGGUAAAAUUCAAAUCUAUUGCGUGCAGCAACCAAAUAAUGGAGUAUGUUUUAAAUUAUUAAAGUUAAAUAGUGUAUAUUUAAUUGAAAUAUUUGUUAUAGAUUGUGCAUUUUAUUUUGAUUUUAUUAUUAAAUAAAGAGAAAUAAUAAAAAAACUGAGUUUUAUUUAAAAGAAUUUAAUUUGCUGAAGUAACAAAUGGGUAACAGAUAAUCUUGUUACUGCUUGUUCUUCCUAACAUGCUUAUAUGUUAAAGGUAACAAACUGAUAACCAAAAUAAUAACACUAACAAAUAUUCGGGUAACAAAUACUUUUUGUUAUCCAUAACACAUGGGUAAGCUAAGCGCUAACAAAAUAAUUUGUUACCCGUAACAUGCUGUGAAGAGAUUUGCUAACAAAUGUGUGUAUUCUGUUAGAACAAGGCAGCAUGCGAUAUUUGCCAUUGGUUAGAGCGAGAUAACCAUUGAACAUCAAAUAGCUAUGUGUUACUUUUUUCCCACUCUCUGAACAAAAGUAACAAAUAUUUUAACGAAUGCAAAAGUGAACAAUAACAAUUCGCUUACACGUUUGCUAACAGCUACCCGUCUUGCAGGGUGUGGUGUGAAAUGCAUUACACUAGCAUAGAGUUGUAAAUAAUAAUAAUUAAAUAAAAAUAUUUUGGCUUUAGCAUAAAAUUUAUGUAAAAUUAUCUUUUAGAUGAGUAAAUUAGUCCUAUCUAUUGAUUAUCCUUUACUCACCCAAAGGAAUUUGUCGGAUAAUUUGUUAUCGUUAUUGUUUUAUUUGUCGUAUGUUUUCGACAAAAUGGCCUGCCACCAAAGGAAAUAUUAAAUACAAUUUGUUUUUUUUUUAAUAUUUUUUUCUGCAAAUAUAUGUAAAAGGAUUCAAAAUAAACGUAUAUUAGUGGAGUUUUAUUUUUUUUUUUAUAAAGAAGAUGGCCAUGCGGUAGAGGGUUAAAUUUGCAUAUUUAUUUAAAUUUUUUUUUUUCCUUUUAUGUUACAGAUUUACAGAAUAAAAUAACACUAACAGCGACUUCCGAAUUGCAAAAAACGUAAAGAACGUUUUCGGUGUGUCAGCAAGUUCAGCGGCUGCACUUCACAGCACCGAAUAUUCUCGAUCAUGUUUGUUCUCGAACUCUCGACGAGUCACUCAAGGAGGACGAUGCGUCAAUUGUUAAGAAUAGGAAACAGUGGAAAAUAUAUUAGUCAAAGAAAAACACCAAGUUUUGUAUUUAAUAUAAAAACGGUUGGUUCUUUAGUAUGACUAAUAAAUUGUUAUAUAUUACCUUGUUAGUGUUUAUGAUAAUGGUGAUGAUGGCCGGUGGACGUCUUAAUUAUCUCCCUUCUUCUUUGAAAAAAGAGAAAUAAAAAAAAGCUAGCAGGAUCGCUUGCUAAGCUACUGAGUAAAGUGAAGCGGGAGAUUUUAACAAAACUAUUGUCAGUUGAGUGAAAGUUAUUAGCGGUUUAUGUCAACAGCUAACUGGCAAUAGUUUGUUAUAUACUCACUAGGGUUGGUAGUAAGAAAUUAGGCACUGGCCUAAACAAAUGGAGAUGGACAACCUUCUGGAAAAAGGUUUGGGCGGAUUACAAAACCCACAUUAAGGCUAAAGCUCGCAAAAAUAAGUUGCAUAUGUCGGGGACAGGUGGUGGGCCUGCAAAAGGUUAUUCCAUCAAUGCAGUUGAAUUAAGAGCAUUUGAUUUACUGCAUAUAAAUCAAGCAGUAGAUGGGAUGGUAGAUGCUCAAAAGUUCGGUCUGGGAACAAGUGAAGUCACACAGAACGACAUAAGUGAUUUACAAAAUUUAGAAGAACUACCAUCUUUAACACCACCUUCUCACCUGAAAACGUCACCAAAAUGUAGCACUGCGCGGUCAAGUACCGCAAGUAAAAACAAUCUCUUGAAAAUGCAAGUAGACGGGCAAAUAAAGUUUCACAAUGAUUGUACUAAGAUUUUAAAAGGCGUGAAUUACAAUUUAAAAUCUUUAGUUAAAUCUAAUAAGCAACUUGUUGAACAAAAUGAAGAAAAAAUUGAACUAUAAAGACAAAAACUAAAGUUUGCAAAGUUAAAGCAUGAGUACCAAAUUAAAAGCGGCAGGGAGAGGAACAAUAUAAGAAUUGCAAAAUUUAAAAUCACAGAACAAAUGAAAACUCGUUUUGAUCACCGUUGGGUAAAGCAAAAUGCAUUAGUUUCAAUUACUGUUGGUGCUUCAACGUUGUAUAUGAAUAAUUAGUAAGCCUUAGACUAUAUAUAAAUACAAGUACAAGCGGUUUGAAUAAAAUCACCGACCAAUUAACCAUGAAGAUUUAUCUCCAUUUUGGUAGUUAGAUAGCAUGUGUUGUCGUUCGUUUGAAAGGCUCCAUACGUGGGCAUCAUGCGCUGCCCCACCAUAAACUCCAUUUACAGCUCUUACAUACAUGUUAUGGUCACAAAUCUAAUUAUAAUAUAAAGUAUAAUAAAUAAGUCUGAAUAAUACAUCGUAAUAUAAACUUACCACCAUAGCAUUGACGCUAUGCUUUAGGUUUCGAUUAAAAAAGAGAUGUUCAUCUUUUACUGGUCUAACCCUCUGGAUGUGAGUUCCAUCAACAGCACCUAUUAUUCCUGGUAAUCCAAAUUUUGAAUAAAAAUAACUUUUAGCUUCACGCUUUUCUUGUGAGCUCAUUUCAAAUUUUAUAUGUUUCGGACACAUUGUUUUUUCAAUAGCGUUCAAAACUUCUGCAAUACAUUUAGAUGUAAUGGACUGUGCUAACCCUGCAAACCGGUCUUGCCCUAUUUGAUGUUGAUAGCCCCCUUGACCAAGGAAUUUUAAAGUAGCACCAUUUAUAGCUGGAUUUAUUGCCGUGGAUCUUAUAGGCACCGUUUGUUUUUCAGUUAUGCCUCUUAAGACAUAAUCAAAGGCUUCCUUAGAAAGUCUAAAGCUUUGUAUGAAGUUAUAAUCCCAAAUGUAAAAAUGGUUUAUAACCGAACAUAACACAUACAUACAUAUGUACAUAACAAAUUACUUUUUUCCAUAAUAUUAAAUUCAUUUCUUAUAUAUCUUCUCGUAAUUCUUUCCUCAAUAAAUACUGGCACAUGGUGGUACAACUUUCGCAUAUUUAUAAACUGAAUUCAAUUUUUUUUACAGAAUACUAAAACACAUUCGAAGUCGAAUAUCAAAUUCGAACAGAAUUUACUUUCGAAUCGAGAUACAGAAUAGGCCCCAGGAGUUUAAUAGUAGAAAAAAAUUAUCUAAGACGAGUUUUAUAAUUUUUUUUUUUUACCGUUAAUUAAAACGGUUGCGUCCGAAUCUUUUUUUACUAAUUUUGCUGUGUCCAUUUUGCUUAAUUUGUUGCCUAAUCUGCUGUUAGAUUUAAAAGAAACUUUUUUUUUUAAUUUUUGUUUGCCUAUUUCUAUUAUGGCAAUUAAGUUCCGGAUGAUGCAAAAAACUGGUUUUCGUUUAAACGGUCGAACAUGAAAUCAUACUUUAUUGCUCUAUAUUUGUGAACGAAGCAACAUGGAACGUGCAUUAGUUGCAGCACUUGUAAUUGAUAUUUUAGAAGAAGACGAAGUAGAACAAAAAAAGCAGAAAAGACAGAAAAAAACUUGGGUAAAGUAAUGGCGAUCAAGAAGACCAGUUUUUUCACAUAUAAGCUUGUUAAAGGAACUUGAACAGUCCAGCCCGGCGGACAACAAAAGUAUUCUCCGAAUGGAUUCUUCUGUAUAUAGGGAGCUUUUGGAAAAAGUAACACCUUAUAUAGAAAAACAAAAUACUAUUAUGUGAGACGCAAUUUCUCUCUCUAACAUUGAGGUAUUUGGCAACUGGAGAGAGCUACGAAAGUUUGAAAUUCCAGUCGUAUAUUUCAACUGCAAGUUUAAGCAACAUAAUUAUUGAGACAUGUGAAGCGUUGAUUAAAGUUCUUAAAGAUUUUAUUUCAGUAAGUAUAUACUAUAUAUUACAUGAAAAUGGAAAACAAAACAAAAAUAAAAUAUUUCUUCAAAUCAAUAAAAAUAACAAAAAUAAAAAGAAAAGUUUGCUUAUGAAUAGCCAGAGUCGUUCAACAAGUCCGUAAAUGUCUGAUAUUCCGUGUUGUUUCCGUAUUGUUAAGUAUUUAUGGUUUCCUGUGGUUGUAUGCUGAUGCUGGAAAUAUUUUGAUAUUGCUGUGGCUGAACCGUUCUAUGAAGUCUGAUGUGCUGAACUUGAGGUUGAGGAGUAGAUAUAAUUUGCGGUGGACUCAGAAGCGGGGCAUAAAUUAAGUAUUCCGAACGACUUUGCAAUGUUCUUGAAUCAAAACAUGUUGAUGAGUUGUCACUAUAAGAGAAAGGUGUUGAUGAGAUCUGAUGCGAAUUUUCGUUUAACCGACCCAAAGCUCCUUGCUACAACACCUCCAUAAUGGUUUUAUUGGCAACUAAUUGUUGAUUAGGGUCAAGUUUCCUGAAGUGUACUUCCCCAGUCGAACUGAAGGUACUUGCAUCGUCAUUGGGCCGCGUCGAAUCUUCUAAAGUUUUGACUGCUUUAAUAAGCAACUGUUGUUUUUCUUUUUUUCCAAAUUCCACUUUGUCUUUUUUUGCGCAAGGUGCAUUCUGAAAGUAGUAAAUAAA